GGGAAUAUUGGACAAUGGGCGAGAGCCUGAUCCAGCAAUGCCGCGUGUGUGAAGAAGGCCUGCGGGUUGUAAAGCACUUUCGUUGGGGAGGAAGGCGUCAUGGUUAAUAGUCAUGACGAUUGACGUUACCCAAAGACGAAGCACCGGCUAACUCUGUGCCAGCAGCCGCGGUAAUACGGAGGGUGCGAGCGUUGUCCGGAAUCACUGGGCGUAAAGGGCGCGUAGGCGGCCUGGUAAGUAGGGGGUGAAAUCCUGCGGCUUAACCGCAGGGCUGCCUUCUAAACUGUCAGGCUUGAGCACGGUAGAGGCAGAUGGAAUUCCCGGUGUAGCGGUGGAAUGCGUAGAGAUCGGGAAGAACAUCAGUGGCGAAGGCGGUCUGCUGGGCCGUUGCUGACGCUGAGGCGCGACAGCGUGGGGAGCAAA
Molecule: ribosomal RNA, 423 nt
Filed under: uncultured bacterium
Lineage: Bacteria
Description: bacterial SSU rRNA
Rfam family: Bacterial small subunit ribosomal RNA
Source: RNAcentral